AGGAUGAACGCUGGCGGCGUGCCUAAUACAUGCAAGUCGAGCGGCAGCGGGCUCACUAUUUUCUUGUCACCAGAGGUAACACUCAUGGAUGACGACGAGGAAAGAGUGAGCGCCGGCGAGCGGCGGACGGCUGAGUAACGCGUGGGAACGUGCCCCAAAGUGAGGAAUAACUGCCCGAAAGGGU
RNAcentral lists this ribosomal RNA (184 nucleotides) under uncultured soil bacterium. RNAcentral describes it as "partial 16S ribosomal RNA". It matches the Rfam family "Bacterial small subunit ribosomal RNA", at positions 26 to 160 of the family's 1533-position model. The record is from RNAcentral.